CUUUACGAUGAUAUGGGGAAGAUAGUACGACAACUUGGCUACUCCGUACGAUACUUGUGACGGGAAAGGAAGGCCGAAGGAGGACUGAGGAGGAACGUUCGCGCAUAAUCAAAACAUUGGACAGCCAUUCCAGCAACGACGUGAUUAACGCGCCAUGUUCGAAUAAUUCGUCUGCCUUCGCGUCUGUGUUCGAGUCUGUUGGUUAUCAUCUCAUCGGAAAGGAAGCAAAUCUGCGAUCAUGCCCGGAAGAGCGCCAAGAGCCAGAAGGACCCAAGGUCGUGGGAAGAAACAGUCUGAAAGGUCCAGCGUGAUUCCUGCCGACCCACCGUCUGCCAAUGCAGAUGUUAUUCUUGUUGAUCUGUCUUCUUGCAAUGCAGAUUCAUUGACCGUCCCACAAUUCCCACGGAGGGGUCGAGGAACAAGAAAUCAAUUAAGGGUAUCCAGAGUUUUGGAACGACCUUCCAAUGCAAAUGUAUUAUUACCCCCACAGCGUUCUAGGAGAGGGAGAACUAGAAAUCGAGAGGAGACAAAUCGAUCAAGGCCAGUCUCCAUUUUUCCUGAUGAGCUGCCUCCUAUCGCAGGUUCAUUAUCUGCUCCACAGUCUUCACAUAGGAGAGGGAGACGUAGAAGUCAAGGGGAUAGAAGUCAGUCAAGGCCAUCCAGAACUCCCCGUAAUCAUCCGCCUCCCAAUAGAAAUUCAUCAUCUGCCCCACGGUCAUCACAGAGGAAAAUCUGCAACCUCUUUGGACUUACUAGUGCAGAUAAGUGAGAGGUGACUGUAUUUGCACUCUUUCCAUGAUCAGGGGCUGACUCUGUUGUGACGUCCAUUUUCAAAACAUCCCUUUUUCAUCUCCGAAGACUAUUAUUCAGCAUGAUCCAGAAGAAACAUGCAACCCAGAGCUAGACCAUUAGUGAUUAGCCUUGACGUCACAUACUCGAGUGAUGAACUGGAAAAUGAGAUCCCAUCCUCUCCUGAGAAGGAACCAGACACACUAUUGAAUUUCUCCUUGACUCCUAGGUAAUAAAUUAGCUAAUGCUUUGUUUUUGUAUAUAUAUUUAUAGAACUGGAAAAGUAGACCAAAUAAUUUGCAUGAUUCUCUGAUGUUACAAGGGGUUUGACAAACUGGUAGGUAAUGCAUUCCAAUUAACCUUUCAAGGGUUGAAAGUACCAUGUAGAAUGUGAACAUUCAAAGAAUAAGUGCAUAAAAACGUAGGUUAAAGUUUAGGGAUAUGGGCAAAUAGAUACUGUAACUAAAAAUGUACUGUCAACCAUCAACAGAAUUACAGUACAAAGAGGUUUAAUACGCUUUAAGUUAAUUAUAUCUGGAAAUUCUGUAGUUGCAGUCUGUGAUUGCAUAAUUUUAGCCGUAUUGGAUACAGCAUUUAUUUAUUUCUGCCCUAACAAAAACAUUUUUGUACAUGGAACUUACCCAGC
Molecule: RNA transcript, 1435 nt
Organism: Macrobrachium nipponense
Lineage: Eukaryota; Metazoa; Arthropoda; Malacostraca; Decapoda; Palaemonidae
Exons: 7
Source: RefSeq, a predicted model, not a curated record